GAGUUUGAUCUUGGCUCAGAUUGAACGCUGGCGGCAUGCUUUACACAUGCAAGUCGAGCGGCAGCGCGGGGGCAACCCUGGCGGCGAGCGGCGAACGGGUGAGUAAUGCAUCGGAACGUACCCCGUAGUGGGGGAUAACCCAGCGAAAGCUGGGCUAAUACCGCAUAUGCUCUACGGAGGAAAGCGGGGGACCCGCAAGGGCCUCACGCUAUGGGAGCGGCCGAUGCCCGAUUAGCUUGUUGGUGAGGUAACGGCUCACCAAGGCGACGAUCGGUAGCUGGUCUGAGAGGAUGAUCAGCCACACUGGGACUGAGAUACGGCCCAGACUCCUACGGGAGGCAGCAGUGGGGAAUAUUGGACAAUGGGGGCAACCCUGAUCCAGCAAUGCCGCGUGAGUGAUGAAGGCCUUAGGGUUGUAAAGCUCUUUUGGCGGGGACGAUGAUGACGGUACCCGCAGAAUAAGCCCCGGCUAACUCGUGCCAGCAGCCGCCGCAGUAAC
Molecule: ribosomal RNA, 499 nt
Filed under: uncultured beta proteobacterium
Lineage: Bacteria; Pseudomonadati; Pseudomonadota; Betaproteobacteria
Description: bacterial SSU rRNA
Rfam family: Bacterial small subunit ribosomal RNA
Source: RNAcentral